CAGAAAAAUGCGGCAUCGACGAAGACACGCCCACUGCGGUCCAUCGCCAUUGUUGUGCUCCUUUUUGUACUGUCCACGGUCCUGAAACGCAGUAAUGACUCAUGGGUGCAUUCGACGGCCACUGCAUUAGCGUGAAGUCCAAGGUCACGGAACAAAUAUGUGAAAGGCAGAGAGGCUUCCCCGGCUUGACGGCGAGCGUGGGUGCCCGCAUCACCAGUGGGCGGGGCUACGCGUGGAAGGGAAUCACGACCAUAUAAGGACAAUUCCUGCCUGUGAGUGUGGAUGUGAUAGAGGUGGGUGUUGGUGGUGUUGGUGGGGUGUCGUGACACCAAAAUGAAACACCUGAGUCUGCAAGUGUGAGAUAUGGAUGAGUCACAGCAGCGGCAGAGUUAACCACCCACCAAACAAGCUAAAACCACCUGGCCUGGAGCAUCCACGUACUCUAUAUCAGGUGUAGCUCUCCUCCCCCAUAGUUGACAAGUAUCACUUCGAGAUUUCUGUACCUUUAGUUUAUUCUCAAGCCAUCCACCCCGAGAUCGUUCAAGCCGAUAGCUAUCAAUAUUCGAACUAUCUUGCCAUAGUAAACCUUUUCAUCUCAAUCUUUUCAAGAGUCGUCUAUUCUGCAACUCUCUCUUCUUGAUCUCUCUAUUUUGUAUUUAUUCUAGAGCUAUUUCCCGACCCAGCCUCGAGAUGGCCUCCAUCUGUCUGUUCUAUUCAUGCAUACAUUCUCAAGCUAUGUUUCGACCCUGGAUCACUAUGUCCUUGAUAUUUGUAUUCCAGAGCUAUGAAUUAUAGAUUUUGCAAUCUUAAAUCUAGUCCCGAGCUGUUCUAGAUUGACCAAAUUCUGAUUUACUAUUCUGGAUUUAGCUGUCUGUACUCUCGUUCUACCAUCUGUUCUAGAUCAUCGACCAUCUAUGAUAAAUCGCCUAUAGGUAUUUUCAUUCAUUCAUUCAUUCAUUCAUUUUCCAAUCUGCUUAUUCUUACAAGGGUCG
Hippocampus comes (tiger tail seahorse) is the source of this 992-nucleotide long non-coding RNA. RefSeq lists it as uncharacterized. Lineage: Eukaryota; Metazoa; Chordata; Actinopteri; Syngnathiformes; Syngnathidae. The transcript has 4 exons. The record is from RefSeq and is a predicted model, not a curated record.